Molecule: ribosomal RNA, 429 nt
Filed under: uncultured archaeon
Lineage: Archaea
Description: bacterial SSU rRNA
Rfam family: Archaeal small subunit ribosomal RNA
Source: RNAcentral
AACCAGCUCUUCAAGUGGUCGGGAAUUUUAUUGGGCUUAAAGUGUCCGUAGCCGGUUUGAACAGUUCCUGGUUAAAUCUGGUAGCUUAACUAUCAGUCAGCUAGGAAUACUAUCUUACUAGAGGGUGGGAAAGGUCUGGGGUACUUCAGGGGUAGCGGUGAAAUGCGAUAAUCCUUGGGGGACCACCAGUGGCGAAGGCGCCAGACUGGAACACGCCUGACGGUGAGGGACGAAAGCCAGGGGAGCGAACGGGAUUAGAUACCCCGGUAGUCCUGGCCGUAAACGAUGCGUGCUAGGUGUUGGUAGGGCUAUGAGCUGUAUCAGUGCCGUAGGGAAACUGUUAAGCGCGCCGCCUGGGAAGUACGCUCGCAAGAGUGAAACUUAAAGGAAUUGGCGGGGGAGCACCACAAGGGGUGAAGCCUGCGGUUC